AUCCUCCAAGGCUAAAUACUCCUGAUUGACCGAUAGUGAACCAGUACCGUGAGGGAAAGGCGAAAAGAACCCCGGCGAGGGGAGUGAAAUAGAACCUGAAACCGUGUACGUACAAGCAGUGGGAGCCUUGAUUUAUCAGGGUGACUGCGUACCUUUUGUAUAAUGGGUCAGCGACUUAUAUUCUGUAGCAAGGUUAACCGAAUAGGGGAGCCGUAGGGAAACCGAGUCUUAACUGGGCGAAUGAGUUGCAGGGUAUAGACCCGAAACCCGGUGAUCUAGCCAUGGGCAGGUUGAAGGUUGGGUAACACUAACUGGAGGACCGAACCGACUAAUGUUGAAAAAUUAGCGGAUGACUUGUGGCUGGGGGUGAAAGGCCAAUCAAACCGGGAGAUAGCUGGUUCUCCCCGAAAGCUAUUUAGGUAGCGCCUCGUGAACUCAUCUUCGGGGGUAGAGCACUGUUUCGGCUAGGGGGUCAUCCCGACUUACCAACCCGAUGCAAACUACGAAUACCGAAGAAUGUUAUCACGGGAGACACACGGCGGGUGCUAACGUUCGUCGUGAAGAGGGAAACAACCCAGACCGCCAGCUAAGGUCCCAAAGUCAUGGUUAAGUGGGAAACGAAGUGGGAAGGCUCAGACAGCCAGGAUGUUGGCUUAGAAGCAGCCAUCAUUUAAAGAAAGCGUAAUAGCUCACUGGUCGAGUCGGCCUGCGCGGAAGAUGUAACGGGGCUAAACCAUGCACCGAAGCUGCGGCAGCGACAUGUAAAUGUUGUUGGGUAGGGGAGCGUUCUGUAAGCCUGUGAAGGUGUGCUGCGAGGCAUGCUGGAGGUAUCAGAAGUGCGAAUGCUGACAUAAGUAACGAUAAUGCGGGUGAAAAACCCGCACGCCGGAAGACCAAGGGUUCCUGUCCAACGUUAAUCGGGGCAGGGUGAGUCGACCCCUAAGGCGAGGCAGAAAUGCGUAGUCGAUGGGAAACAGGUUAAUAUUCCUGUACUGGUGAUAAUUGCGAUGGGGGGACGGAGAAGGCUAGGCUGGCCGGGCGACGGUUGUCCCGGUUUAAGGAUGUAGGUGGGCGAAUUAGGCAAAUCCGGUUCGCUAUACACUGAGGUCUGAUGACGAGUCACUACGGUGGCGAAGUAGCUCAUGCCCCGCUUCCAGGAAAAGCCUCUAAGCUCUAGAUUAUCAUUAAUCGUACCCCAAACCGACACAGGUGGUCAGGUAGAGAAUACUCAGGCGCUUGAGAGAACUCGGGUGAAGGAACUAGGCAAAAUGGUGCCGUAACUUCGGGAGAAGGCACGCUGGCA
Molecule: ribosomal RNA, 1303 nt
Filed under: Providencia stuartii
Lineage: Bacteria; Pseudomonadati; Pseudomonadota; Gammaproteobacteria; Enterobacterales; Morganellaceae
Description: partial 23S ribosomal RNA
Rfam family: Bacterial large subunit ribosomal RNA
Source: RNAcentral